This 169-nucleotide ribosomal RNA is filed under the name uncultured bacterium. RNAcentral describes it as "partial 16S ribosomal RNA". It matches the Rfam family "Bacterial small subunit ribosomal RNA", at positions 338 to 524 of the family's 1533-position model. RNAcentral also lists the same sequence under 1 other name. The record is from RNAcentral.
CCUACGGGAGGCAGCAGUGGGGAAUAUUGGACAAUGGGCGAAAGCCUGAUCCAGCCAUGCCGCGUGAGUGAUGAAGGCCCUAGGGUUGUAAAGCUCUUUCAACGGUGAAGAUAAUGACGGUAACCGUAGAAGAAGCCCCGGCUAACUUCGUGCCAGCAGCCGCGGUAAU